Molecule: ribosomal RNA, 460 nt
Filed under: uncultured bacterium
Lineage: Bacteria
Description: partial 16S ribosomal RNA
Rfam family: Bacterial small subunit ribosomal RNA
Source: RNAcentral
CCUACGGGAGGCAGCAGUGAGGAAUAUUGGUCAAUGGGCGUGAGCCUGAACCAGCCAAGUCGCGUGAGGGAAGACUGCCCAGUGGAUUGUAAACCUCUUUUGUCAGGGAACAACGCCGGCGACUAGUAGCCGGACGAGGAUUCCCGGAGGAAAAGCCAUCGGCUACCUCCGGCCCAGCACCGGCGUAAAUACGGAGGAUGCGAGCGUGAUCCGGAUUUAUUGGGUUUAAAGGGGGCGCAGGCGGAAUGCAAAGUCAGCGGUAAAAUGGCGGGGCUCAACCUCGCUGCGCCGUUGAAACUGGUGUUCUUGAGUGGGCGAGAAGUAUGCGGAAUGCGUGGUGUAGCGGUGAAAUGCAUAGAUAUCACGCAGAACUCCGAUUGCGAAGGCAGCAUACCGGCGCCCAACUGACGCUGAAGCACGAAAGCGUGGGUAUCGAACAGGAUUAGAUACCCGGGUAGUC